UCCGGUUUGUCACCGGCAGUCUCCUUAGAGUGCCCAACUGAAUGAUGGCAACUAAGGACAAGGGUUGCGCUCGUUGCGGGACUUAACCCAACAUCUCACGACACGAGCCGACGACAGCCAUGCAGCACCUGUCUCACGGUUCCCGAAGGCACCCCCGCAUCUCUGCAGGGUUCCGUGGAUGUCAAGACCAGGUAAGGUUCUUCGCGUUGCAUCGAAUUAAACCACAUACUCCACCGCUUGUGCGGGCCCCCGUCAAUUCCUUUGAGUUUCAACCUUGCGGCCGUACUCCCCAGGCGGGGAACUUAUCGCGUUAGCUACGACACCGAUUUGCUAGGCAAACCGACGUCAAGUUCCCAUCGUUUACAGCGUGGACUAC
Molecule: unclassified non-coding RNA, 376 nt
Filed under: uncultured Gammaproteobacteria bacterium
Lineage: Bacteria; Pseudomonadati; Pseudomonadota; Gammaproteobacteria
Description: contains 16S-23S intergenic spacer region
Source: RNAcentral